GCUCCCGAGUGUAAGAUUGUUUUCACAGAUACAGGCUUCUACUUUAGGUAGAAGACUUCCUGGCUCCAUCAGCUGAGCUCUCAGGAUUUGAGAUUUGCAUCGACAAGGGCACGUUCGAUGCUGUAAGCCUUAAUCCUGAGGAUGCAGUGGGAAAGAGGAAGCAGUAUGUGAGAUCUCUCUGCAGCACGUUGAAGCCAGGAGGCUUCUUCCUCAUAACAUCCUGUAACUGGACCAAGGAGGAGCUGCUGAGUGAGUUCAGAGAAGGAUUCGAAAUUCUGGAGGAGCUGCCAACACCCAAGUUUUGCUUUGGAGGAAGAGUUGGAAACAGUGUAACAGCAUUGGUUUUC
Tinamus guttatus (white-throated tinamou) is the source of this 347-nucleotide non-coding RNA. Lineage: Eukaryota; Metazoa; Chordata; Aves; Tinamiformes; Tinamidae. The record is from RefSeq and is a predicted model, not a curated record.